This 316-nucleotide long non-coding RNA is filed under the name Anser brachyrhynchus (Pink-footed goose). RNAcentral describes it as "lncRNA (ENSABRG00000018682.1)". The record is from RNAcentral. Lineage: Eukaryota; Metazoa; Chordata; Aves; Anseriformes; Anatidae.
GGGUUUUGAAGGUUUUCGAUCCUCUAGAGGGUUUCAGAGAUUUACAUGAGUAAAGUAUGAAUAGAAAAAAGUAAAGAAAAAACAGUAGUCUCAGCCUGCUAUGAAGUUUCUGUUAUAAUGUCCUAACUUUUUAGUUUGCAAUUUUAUAGGAGCAAGACAAGUUUUCCUCAACAGCUGCCUCCUGUUCCUCGUCAUGUGAUUGUGAAACAGCUGGCUGCACGUACGACAACAUCCAAUAACCAAACAGCAGGCUGCACAUAAGACAACAUCCAAUAAGUUGCUGGCACCUCUAGUGCUCCUGACUUGCUUUGUUCAU